Molecule: transfer RNA, 85 nt
Filed under: Patescibacteria group bacterium
Lineage: Bacteria
Description: tRNA-Ser
Rfam family: tRNA
About the family: Transfer RNA (tRNA) molecules are approximately 80 nucleotides in length. Their secondary structure includes four short double-helical elements and three loops (D, anti-codon, and T loops). Further hydrogen bonds mediate the characteristic L-shaped molecular structure. tRNAs have two regions of fundamental functional importance: the anti-codon, which is responsible for specific mRNA codon recognition, and the 3' end, to which the tRNAs corresponding amino acid is attached (by aminoacyl-tRNA synthetases). tRNAs cope with the degeneracy of the genetic code in two manners: having more than one tRNA (with a specific anti-codon) for a particular amino acid; and 'wobble' base-pairing, i.e. permitting non-standard base-pairing at the 3rd anti-codon position.
Source: RNAcentral
GGAGAGAUCGCAUAGCGGUCUAGUGCGCACGCUUGGAAAGCGUGUGUGCCGAAAGGCACCGAGGGUUCAAAUCCCUCUCUCUCCG